This 216-nucleotide ribosomal RNA is filed under the name uncultured Lactobacillus sp. RNAcentral's name for it is "partial 16S ribosomal RNA". It matches the Rfam family "Bacterial small subunit ribosomal RNA", at positions 144 to 354 of the family's 1533-position model. Lineage: Bacteria; Bacillati; Bacillota; Bacilli; Lactobacillales; Lactobacillaceae. The record is from RNAcentral.
CAACCUGGAAACAGAUGCUAAUACCGGAUAACAACAGAUGAUGCCUAUCAACUGUUUAAAAGAUGGUUCUGCUAUCACUCUUGGAUGGACCUGCGGUGCAUUAGCUAGUUGGUAGGGUAACGGCCUACCAAGGCGAUGAUGCAUAGCCGAGUUGAGAGACUGAUCGGCCACAUUGGGACUGAGACACGGCCCAAACUCCUACGGGAGGCAGCAGAC